GACGAACGCUGGCGGCGUGCUUAACACAUGCAAGUCGAACGGAAAGGCCCUGCUUUUGUGGGGUGCUCGAGUGGCGAACGGGUGAGUAACACGUGAGUAACCUGCCCUUGACUUUGGGAUAACUUCAGGAAACUGGGGCUAAUACCGGAUAGGAGCUCCUGCUGCAUGGUGGGGGUUGGAAAGUUUCGGCGGUUGGGGAUGGACUCGCGGCUUAUCAGCUUGUUGGUGGGGUAGUGGCUUACCAAGGCUUUGACGGGUAGCCGGCCUGAGAGGGUGACCGGCGACAUUGGGACUGCGAUACGGCCCAGACUCCUACGGGAGGCAGCAGUGGGGAAUAUUGCACAAUGGGCGGAAGCCUGAUGCAGCAACGCCGCGUGCGGGAUGCCGGCCUUCGGGUUGUAAACCGCUUUCGCCUGUGACGAAGCGUGAGUGACGGUAAUGGGUAAAGAAGCACCGGCUAACUACGUG
This 468-nucleotide ribosomal RNA is filed under the name uncultured bacterium. RNAcentral's name for it is "partial 16S ribosomal RNA". It matches the Rfam family "Bacterial small subunit ribosomal RNA", at positions 28 to 507 of the family's 1533-position model. The record is from RNAcentral.